GCACUUCCCAGAGCUCGACCUGAGAAUGCAAGACUUCUAGGGGGUGAUCGUUCAGGAAAAAAAAAAUCAAACGGCUCCGGAUCAUGGCAUGGAUCAGGUUGAGACCUUCAUUUUCUUUGAACCUUUGAACAGUCGUCAGUUCAGCUUCAGCUAGGGAGUUCCUGGGACCCUAUGGGAUGAUGUGUAUGAAACGUUAAAAUAGAGGUCUAGUCCGCCUCGCCUCGCCUGUUGCAAAUCUUAACUAGCAAGGGAAG
Molecule: long non-coding RNA, 254 nt
Organism: Oryza brachyantha (malo sina)
Lineage: Eukaryota; Viridiplantae; Streptophyta; Magnoliopsida; Poales; Poaceae
Exons: 3
Source: RefSeq, a predicted model, not a curated record